Octopus sinensis (East Asian common octopus) is the source of this 94-nucleotide long non-coding RNA. RefSeq lists it as uncharacterized. The record is from RefSeq and is a predicted model, not a curated record. The transcript has 3 exons. Lineage: Eukaryota; Metazoa; Mollusca; Cephalopoda; Octopoda; Octopodidae.
UUUAAUAGAUGAACAGACAGAAUUUGUUGGGGCAGAUUUUCUAUGGCUCGAUACCUUUCCUGUUAUCAACACUCACUUGUUUUCUAGCAUGAUG